This 901-nucleotide long non-coding RNA is filed under the name Phoenix dactylifera (date palm). Its description in RNAcentral is "long non-coding RNA (PDAC_LNC017197)". Lineage: Eukaryota; Viridiplantae; Streptophyta; Magnoliopsida; Arecales; Arecaceae. The record is from RNAcentral.
UUUUGAUUGAGGCAAUGAAGGAUAGGUAGGAUCGAAAACGUUUUAGUAGUGUUGGUUAGAAAAAAAUGAACUUCUGAAAGAGCAGGUCAUGCUUUUUAAAAAAUGAACUUCGGAAAGAGUAACUAACUUUGGGAGGAAAGCCUUUCCCCCUCUCAUCUUGACAAAUGCAACAAAUUAAUGGCAAAAAGGUAAAAAUGGAUAGUUUUGAUGGAAUUUUCCUUGUGGAGCAUGAGUUGAGCCCCAUUUCUCAUUUCUAAUAUAUGAAUCUCUUGUGUCUACCAUGGAACUUAGGUAAAAAUGGUAAAUCAAACUGUUGUCAAUUUGCAUGCAAUGGAUGACCUGGCUGCAGGUCAAUUGUCCCAAAAGGAGAAAGUAAAGAACAAAAACAGGUCAAGGUUGACAAUAGUAAUGCUCAGCCUACAAAACUUAUCAACUCCCACAUAACUAGAAUAGCUAUUUUGACUGGAUUUUAGACACAUGAUGGGGCUUGCUAGUUGAGUGACCUGAUGAACAACUUUUCAGAGACUCGGAGAAAAGAGAAAAUAACAUAGAACUCGAAGUCUGAGUGCUACACAAUUUUCUGUUCUUAGAUGGACUUUAAUUGGUCGUAUUUAUAGUAAAUGGGUGGUCAAAUGCCUAUUAUGUCCACUUGAUGAGGUGAACGUGUCUCACAACUUCGUGAUCGCCACUUGGACGAACUAACAUUGAUGCCAAGCCAUGCUGAAACUUACAUCACCAUUAAUGAUAAUAUUAAGGAUUUAUUGAUGGCUAAACAGCUCCCCUUCUUAAUGAUGGGCCGUGUAAGAUGAUAAUGACGAUUUCACAUGUUGUUUGGUGAAGAACUUAAAACCUAUACACCAUAAAAGUGUCUUAGGAGUACAUUGUUUAGGUUUUUGUAACC